Molecule: ribosomal RNA, 481 nt
Filed under: Clostridioides difficile
Lineage: Bacteria; Bacillati; Bacillota; Clostridia; Peptostreptococcales; Peptostreptococcaceae
Description: partial 23S ribosomal RNA
Rfam family: Bacterial large subunit ribosomal RNA
Source: RNAcentral
CCAUCGCUCAACGGAUAAAAGCUACCCUGGGGAUAACAGGCUUAUCUCCCCCAAGAGUCCACAUCGACGGGGAGGUUUGGCACCUCGAUGUCGGCUCAUCACAUCCUGGGGCUGUAGUAGGUCCCAAGGGUUGGGCUGUUCGCCCAUUAAAGUGGUACGCGAGCUGGGUUCAGAACGUCGUGAGACAGUUCGGUCCCUAUCCGUCGCAGGCGUAGGAAAUUUGAGAAGACCUGUCCUUAGUACGAGAGGACCGGGAUGGACGUACCUCUGGUGUACCAGUUGUCCUGCCAAGGGCAUGGCUGGGUAGCUAUGUACGGAAUGGAUAAGCGCUGAAAGCAUCUAAGCGCGAAGUCAACUUCAAGAUAAGAUUUCCCACCGCAAGGGUAAGACCCCAGAAAGACUAUCUGGUUGAUAGGUCGAAGGUGUAAGUGCAGCAAUGUAUUUAGCUUAUCGAUACUAAUAGGUCGAGGACUUGACCAAU